GCCACAUCACGUUGAAAUACCGGUUCCCGUACGAUCACCAAAGUUAAGCAACGUCAAGCUUGGUCACUACCGAGAUAGGUGGCCGCUUUGGAAUACCAGGUGCUGUAAG
This is a non-coding RNA of Acanthosepion pharaonis, 109 nucleotides long. NCBI's taxonomy places the organism in Eukaryota, Metazoa, Mollusca, Cephalopoda, Sepiida, Sepiidae. The record is from the annotation of a GenBank genome assembly.